GGUGGGAUGACGUCAAAUCAUCAUCGCCCCUUAUGACCUGGGCUACACACGUGCUACAAUGGUUGGUACAACGAGUUGCGAGUCGGUGACGGCGAGCUAAUACUCUUAAAGCCAAUUCUCAGUUCGGAUUGUAGGCUGCAACUCGCCUACAUGAAGUCGGAAUCGCUAGUAAUCGCGGAUCAGCACGCCGCGGUGAAUACGUUCCCGGGCCUU
This 213-nucleotide ribosomal RNA is filed under the name uncultured Streptococcus sp. RNAcentral's name for it is "partial 16S ribosomal RNA". It matches the Rfam family "Bacterial small subunit ribosomal RNA", at positions 1173 to 1382 of the family's 1533-position model. The record is from RNAcentral. Lineage: Bacteria; Bacillati; Bacillota; Bacilli; Lactobacillales; Streptococcaceae.